CGCUGGCGGCAUGCUUACACAUGCAAGUCGCACGGGCAGCUUCGGCUGUCAGUGGCGGACGGGUGAGUAACGCGUAGGUAUCUAUCCUUGGGUGGGGGACAACCGUGGGAAACUACGGCUAAUACCGCAUGACGACUGAGGUCCAAAGCAGCAAUGCGCCUGAGGAGGAGCCUGCGUACGAUUAGCUAGUUGGUGGGGUAAAGGCCUACCAAGGCUGUGAUCGUUAGCUGGUCUGAGAGGAUGAUCAGCCACAUUGGGACUGAGACACGGCCCAAACUCCUACGGGAGGCAGCAGUGGGGAAUAUUGGACAAUGGGCGCAAGCCUGAUCCAGCAAUGCCGCGUGUGUGAAGAAGGUCUUCGGAUUGUAAAGCACUUUCGACGGGGACGAUGAUGACGGUACCCGUAGAAGAAGCCCCGGCUAACUUCGUGCCAGCAGCCGCGGUAAUACGAAGGGGGCUAGCGUUGCUCGGAAUGACUGGGCGUAAAGGGCGCGUANGCGGAUGGUACAGUCAGAUGUGAAAUUCCCGGGCUUAACCUGGGGGCUGCAUUUGAUACGUGCGAUCUGGA
RNAcentral lists this ribosomal RNA (568 nucleotides) under uncultured bacterium. RNAcentral's name for it is "bacterial SSU rRNA". It matches the Rfam family "Bacterial small subunit ribosomal RNA", at positions 34 to 645 of the family's 1533-position model. The record is from RNAcentral.